RNAcentral lists this transfer RNA (87 nucleotides) under Galbibacter marinus. Its description in RNAcentral is "tRNA-Leu". It matches the Rfam family "tRNA". From Rfam's summary of the family: Transfer RNA (tRNA) molecules are approximately 80 nucleotides in length. Lineage: Bacteria; Pseudomonadati; Bacteroidota; Flavobacteriia; Flavobacteriales; Flavobacteriaceae. The record is from RNAcentral.
ACCGGGGUGCUGGAACUGGUAGACAGGCAUGGUUGAGGGCCAUGUGUCCAUUAGGGCGUGUGGGUUCGAUUCCCAUUCCCGGUACAA